AUUGAACGCUGGCGGCAGGCCUAACACAUGCAAGUCGAGCGGAUGAAGGGAGCUUGCUCCUGGAUUCAGCGGCGGACGGGUGAGUAAUGCCUAGGAAUCUGCCUGGUAGUGGGGGAUAACGUCCGGAAACGGGCGCUAAUACCGCAUACGUCCUGAGGGAGAAAGUGGGGGAUCUUCGGACCUCACGCUAUCAGAUGAGCCUAGGUCGGAUUAGCUAGUUGGUGGGGUAAAGGCCUACCAAGGCGACGAUCCGUAACUGGUCUGAGAGGAUGAUCAGUCACACUGGAACUGAGACACGGUCCAGACUCCUACGGGAGGCAGCAGUGGGGAAUAUUGUACAAUGGGCGAAAGCCUGAUCCAGCCAUGCCGCGUGUGUGAAGAAGGUCUUCGGAUUGUAAAGCACUUUAAGUUGGGAGGAAGGGCAGUAAGUUAAUACCUUGCUGUUUUGACGUUACCAACAGAAAGAGCACCGGCUAACUUCGUG
RNAcentral lists this ribosomal RNA (484 nucleotides) under uncultured bacterium. Its description in RNAcentral is "partial 16S ribosomal RNA". It matches the Rfam family "Bacterial small subunit ribosomal RNA", at positions 30 to 507 of the family's 1533-position model. The record is from RNAcentral.